CGGCUGCUAAUACAUGCAGUCGAGCGGACAGAAGGGAGCUUGCUCCCGGAUGUUAGCGGCGGACGGGUGAGUAACACGUGGGUAACCUGCCUGUAAGACUGGGAUAACUCCGGGAAACCGGAGCUAAUACCGGAUAGUUCCUUGAACCGCAUGGUUCAAGGAUGAAAGACGGUUUCGGCUGUCACUUACAGAUGGACCCGCGGCGCAUUAGCUAGUUGGUGAGGUAACGGCUCACCAAGGCGACGAUGCGUAGCCGACCUGAGAGGGUGAUCGGCCACACUGGGACUGAGACACGGCCCAGACUCCUACGGGAGGCAGCAGUAGGGAAUCUUCCGCAAUGGACGAAAGUCUGACGGAGCAACGCCGCGUGAGUGAUGAAGGUUUUCGGAUCGUAAAGCUCUGUUGUUAGGGAAGAACAAGUGCAAGAGUAACUGCUUGCACCUUGACGGUACCUAACCAGAAAGCCACGGCUAACUACGUGCCAGCAGCCGCGGUAAUACGUAGGUGGCAAGCGUUGUCCGGAAUUAUUGGGCGUAAAGGGCUCGCAGGCGGUUUCUUAAGUCUGAUGUGAAAGCCCCCGGCUCAACCGGGGAGGGUCAUUGGAAACUGGGAAACUUGAGUGCAGAAGAGGAGAGUGGAAUUCCACGUGUAGCGGUGAAAUGCGUAGAGAUGUGGAGGAACACCAGUGGCGAAGGCGACUCUCUGGUCUGUAACUGACGCUGAGGAGCGAAAGCGUGGGGAGCGAACAGGAUUAG
This 755-nucleotide ribosomal RNA is filed under the name Bacillus pumilus. RNAcentral's name for it is "bacterial SSU rRNA". It matches the Rfam family "Bacterial small subunit ribosomal RNA", at positions 40 to 781 of the family's 1533-position model. Lineage: Bacteria; Bacillati; Bacillota; Bacilli; Caryophanales; Bacillaceae. The record is from RNAcentral.